Molecule: ribosomal RNA, 465 nt
Filed under: uncultured bacterium
Lineage: Bacteria
Description: partial 16S ribosomal RNA
Rfam family: Bacterial small subunit ribosomal RNA
Source: RNAcentral
GACGAACGCUGGCGGCGUGCUUAACACAUGCAAGUCGAACGGAAAGGCCCCUUCCGGGGUACUCGAGUGGCGAACGGGUGAGUAACACGUGAGUAACCUGCCCUUGACUUCGGGAUAACUUCAGGAAACUGGGGCUAAUACCGGAUAGGAAUCCUUGCUGCAUGGUGGGGGUUGGAAAGCUUCGGCGGUUUUGGAUGGACUCGCGGCUUAUCAGCUUGUUGGUGGGGUAGUGGCUUACCAAGGCUUUGACGGGUAGCCGGCCUGAGAGGGCGAACGGCCACAGUGGGACUGAGAUACGGCCCAGACUCCUACGGGAGGCAGCAGUGGGGAAUAUUGCACAAUGGGCGGAAGCCUGAUGCAGCAACGCCGCGUGCGGGAUGACGGCCUUCGGGUUGUAAACCGCUUUCAGCAGGGGCGAAGCUUGUGGUGACGGUACCUGCAGAAGAAGCACCGGCUAACUACGUG